UACGGAGGGUGCAAGCGUUGUCCGGAAUUAUUGGGCUUAAAGGGUGCGUAGGCGGGGUUUCAAGUCUGGUUUGAAAGUUAGCUGCUCAACAGUUAGACGUGGCUUGAAACUGGGAUUCUGGAAUGGGUUGGCGGCUGCCGGAACUGGUCAUGUAGCGGUGAAAUGCAUAGAUAUGAGCAAGAACACCGAUUGCGAAGGCAGGCAGCUACGACAUGAUUGACACUGAGGCACGAGAGCAUGGGUAGCGAACAGG
RNAcentral lists this ribosomal RNA (253 nucleotides) under uncultured bacterium. Its description in RNAcentral is "partial 16S ribosomal RNA". It matches the Rfam family "Bacterial small subunit ribosomal RNA", at positions 524 to 776 of the family's 1533-position model. The record is from RNAcentral.